GACGAACGCUGGCGGCGCGCCUAACACAUGCAAGUCGAACGAGAGAGAAGGAGCUUGCUUCUUCGAUCGAGUGGCGAACGGGUGAGUAACGCGUGAGGAACCUGCCUCAAAGAGGGGGACAACAGUUGGAAACGACUGCUAAUACCGCAUAAGCCCACAGGUCGGCAUCGACCAGAGGGAAAAGGAGCAAUCCGCUUUGAGAUGGCCUCGCGUCCGAUUAGCUAGUUGGUGAGGUAAUGGCCCACCAAGGCGACGAUCGGUAGCCGGACUGAGAGGUUGAACGGCCACAUUGGGACUGAGACACGGCCCAGACUCCUACGGGAGGCAGCAGUGGGGAAUAUUGCACAAUGGGGGAAACCCUGAUGCAGCGACGCCGCGUGGAGGAAGAAGGUCUUCGGAUUGUAAACUCCUGU
This 413-nucleotide ribosomal RNA is filed under the name uncultured bacterium. RNAcentral describes it as "bacterial SSU rRNA". It matches the Rfam family "Bacterial small subunit ribosomal RNA", at positions 28 to 436 of the family's 1533-position model. The record is from RNAcentral.